This 491-nucleotide ribosomal RNA is filed under the name uncultured bacterium. Its description in RNAcentral is "bacterial SSU rRNA". It matches the Rfam family "Bacterial small subunit ribosomal RNA", at positions 15 to 507 of the family's 1533-position model. The record is from RNAcentral.
GAUCCUGGCUCAGAUUGAACGCUGGCGGCAUGCUUUACACAUGCAAGUCGAACGGUAACAGGUUAAGCUGACGAGUGGCGAACGGGUGAGUAAUGCAUCGGAACGUGCCCAGUCGUGGGGGAUAACGCAGCGAAAGCUGUGCUAAUACCGCAUACGAUCUAUGGAUGAAAGCAGGGGACCGCAAGGCCUUGCGCGAACGGAGCGGCCGAUGGCAGAUUAGGUAGUUGGUGGGAUAAAAGCUUACCAAGCCGACGAUCUGUAGCUGGUCUGAGAGGACGACCAGCCACACUGGGACUGAGACACGGCCCCAGACUCCUACGGGAGGCAGCAGUGGGGAAUUUUGGACAAUGGGCGCAAGCCUGAUCCAGCCAUGCCGCGUGCAGGAUGAAGGCCUUCGGGUUGUAAACUGCUUUUGUACGGAACGAAAAGACUCUGGUUAAUACCUGGGGUCCAUGACGGUACCGUAAGAAUAAGCACCGGCUAACUACGUG